RNAcentral lists this transfer RNA (69 nucleotides) under Marmota marmota marmota (Alpine marmot). It matches the Rfam family "tRNA". Rfam says of the family: Transfer RNA (tRNA) molecules are approximately 80 nucleotides in length. Their secondary structure includes four short double-helical elements and three loops (D, anti-codon, and T loops). Further hydrogen bonds mediate the characteristic L-shaped molecular structure. tRNAs have two regions of fundamental functional importance: the anti-codon, which is responsible for specific mRNA codon recognition, and the 3' end, to which the tRNAs corresponding amino acid is attached (by aminoacyl-tRNA synthetases). tRNAs cope with the degeneracy of the genetic code in two manners: having more than one tRNA (with a specific anti-codon) for a particular amino acid; and 'wobble' base-pairing, i.e. permitting non-standard base-pairing at the 3rd anti-codon position. The record is from Rfam by way of RNAcentral. RNAcentral also lists the same sequence under 1 other name. Lineage: Eukaryota; Metazoa; Chordata; Mammalia; Rodentia; Sciuridae.
GGAGUUGUGGCUCAGUGGUAGAGUGCUCGCCUAGCACAUGAGAGGCCCUGGGUUGGAUCCUCAGCACCA